RNAcentral lists this long non-coding RNA (1077 nucleotides) under Gallus gallus (chicken). Its description in RNAcentral is "lncRNA (ENSGALG00010002731.1)". The record is from RNAcentral. Lineage: Eukaryota; Metazoa; Chordata; Aves; Galliformes; Phasianidae.
AAUAAAACAUUUUGUCAUUUUAAUAACUGUGGAAAGUCAGACAGCACUGGAACUCUGUCUAAUGAUUGCAUUACCCAUAAGAAAACUUUGAGCUUAAGAGUAUUAUUAAAGGGAGUCUAUUAAAACUCUGUUUCCAAAAUGUGAAAAGGACCGUAAACCCACACAGACCCUAGUGGCUUCAGUGCGAUUUGAUAUAGGUGAUAUAGGUACAAGAUACCACUGAGUUAGAAGGCUCCAGGGAUACCUCACUGUGGCCUUCCAAUACUUGAAGGGAGCAUAUAAACAGGAGAGAGAAUGGCUGUUUACGGGGGUGGAUAGUGAUAGGACAGGGGGGAAUGGUUUUAAACUGAGACAGGGGAGGAUUAGGUUAGAUAUUAGGUGGAAGUUUUUCACUCAGAGGGUGACGCACUGGAACAGGUUGCCUGAGGAGGUUGUGGGUGCUCCAUCCCUGGAUGCAUUCAAGGCCAGGCUGGGUGUGGCUCUGGGCAGCCUGGUCUGGUGGUUGGCCACCCUGCACAUAGCAGGGAGGUUGAAACUAGAUGAUCUUUGAGAUCUUUUCAACCCAGGCCAUUCUAUGAUUCUAUGACUUAUCCUGAUUUGCUUAUUUAUCCAUUCCAGAUCAGGGACCUUAGUGUUGAAAAAUCUAUUAUGAGAUUGUUGGUUUUUUUCUGUGGUUUUUUUUUUUUUUUUAAUUUGAGAUGAUUUUCUCUGAAGCUGAGCACUAACAACACAGAAACUGGUUUGGACCUUUGAACCCCUGUAAAAAGAGAAAAAGGACAAUUGAUUCCUCCUGACAUCUUCAAAUGGCUGAAUCUGUUCGGUAUUAAAGCCCUCCUGUAUUGCUGGAGUAAGGAAAAGAAACCAGCACCUCUACGUGCGGUAUGUGUGAUACUUCCACCUGUGAUACCUCACCUGAACCUAUCUUGCAAUGUAACUGUAGUGACUCCAGUUAAAUCAACGAGAAAAUGACUGAGCUUAACUUUGAGGCAAUUGGACUCAUUUCAGCAGUGGUGAAGCUCAAGAACGUCCAGGCUGGUAUUAAAAUAGCCAUGCCUCUACCAUUACUAUGUAUACAGC